Long non-coding RNA from Pezoporus occidentalis (night parrot), 175 nucleotides. RefSeq lists it as uncharacterized. The record is from RefSeq and is a predicted model, not a curated record. Lineage: Eukaryota; Metazoa; Chordata; Aves; Psittaciformes; Psittacidae. The transcript is spliced from 3 exons.
GGGCCCUGAGGAGGUUUGGGAGCUGCUGCGUGGAGCUUGCACUGCCCUAUCCCAUUGCCACCUCCCAGAGAGAGGAUGGAGAUGGGAUGGAGAUGGGAUGGAGAUGGGAUGGAGAUGGCCCCCCAGCAUGAGCAUCCCUGUGCGGAGGCUGGGUCUGGAUGCAGGCAGCGGGGAC